Molecule: non-coding RNA, 72 nt
Organism: Phrynosoma platyrhinos (Desert horned lizard)
Lineage: Eukaryota; Metazoa; Chordata; Lepidosauria; Squamata; Phrynosomatidae
Source: the annotation of a GenBank genome assembly
GCCAGCAUGGCAUAGUGGUUUGAAUGCUGGACUACAAUUCUGGAGACCAGGGUUUGAUUCCCAGCUUGGACA